ACUUUUAUACAUCUUCAAUAAAAGCUAUUGAAAUAAAAAAAGUCACACCAGAGGCUAUGCAUACUCUCAGUGUUCUGACCUAUGAACAUUUCUAUGAGUAGUAGCCUAAAGUU
Molecule: small nucleolar RNA, 113 nt
Organism: Rattus norvegicus (Norway rat)
Lineage: Eukaryota; Metazoa; Chordata; Mammalia; Rodentia; Muridae
Product: small nucleolar RNA SNORA17
Source: Ensembl